RNAcentral lists this small RNA (732 nucleotides) under Pongo abelii (Sumatran orangutan). Its description in RNAcentral is "retained intron". The record is from RNAcentral. Lineage: Eukaryota; Metazoa; Chordata; Mammalia; Primates; Hominidae.
AUAUUAGCCGCGGUUAUUUGGUGAGCGCUGGUGGUUUAUUCUUCCGUGGAGUUAAGGGUUCCGUGGACAUCUCAAGUCUUCAGGGUCUUCCAUCUGGAACUAUAUAAAGUUCAGAAAACAUGUCUCGAAGAUAUGACUCCAGGACCACUAUAUUUUCUCCAGAAGGUAAAAUAGAAAUUGUUUAAUCUGCCUCAAGUUUAAAAAUAGAUGUGUUAGACUUUUAGAAAAAAAAAUUACAAACUAUUUUUGGUAGUUGCAGAGUUCAUCUUUUUUGUACUUUGAAGCAAUUAUGGUCACCAGGUUGGUUAUACCAUAGAAGAGUGAAAGUGGAAAUUUGUUUCUAGCUUGCUUCAUUGCUGAUUUCUUUUGGGCCGGUGGUGCAAGAGCACAGAGGAGAGUCUUGGCUUCUCACUGCUUUUGUUUUGUAGGUCGCUUAUACCAAGUUGAAUAUGCCAUGGAAGCUAUUGGACAUGCAGGCACCUGUUUGGGAAUUUUAGCAAAUGAUGGUGUUUUGCUUGCAGCAGAGAGACGCAACAUCCACAAGCUUCUUGAUGAAGUCUUUUUUUCUGAAAAAAUUUAUAAACUCAAUGAGGACAUGGCUUGCAGUGUGGCAGGCAUAACUUCUGAUGCUAAUGUUCUGACUAAUGAACUAAGGCUCAUUGCUCAAAGUAUUUAUUACAGUAUCAGGAGCCAAUACCUUGUGAGCAGUUGGUUACAGCACUGUGUGAUAUC